CCUANGGGAGGCAGCAGUCGGGAAUUUUCCACAAUGGGCGCAAGCCUGAUGGAGCAACGCCGCGUGCAGGAUGAAGGCUUUCGGGUCGUAAACUGCUUUUAUGUGCGAAGAAUUUGACGGUAACACAUGAAUAAGGGUCGACUAACUACGUGCCAGCAGCCGCGGUCAUACGUAGGACCCAAGCGUUAUCCGGAAUUACUGGGCGUAAAGAGUUGCGUAGGUGGUUUACCAAGUGGAGCGUGAAAGAGUAUGGCUCAACCAUACAACUGCGUUCCAAACUGGUAGACUUGAGUAUGAGAGGGGUAGAUGGAAUUUCUAGUGUAGGAGUGAAAUCCGUAGAUAUUAGAAGGAACACCGAUAGCGUAGGCAGUCUACUGGCUCAUUACUGACACUAAGGCACGAAAGCGUGGGGAGCAAACGGGAUUAGAUACCCGANUANUC
RNAcentral lists this ribosomal RNA (441 nucleotides) under uncultured bacterium. Its description in RNAcentral is "bacterial SSU rRNA". It matches the Rfam family "Bacterial small subunit ribosomal RNA", at positions 338 to 795 of the family's 1533-position model. The record is from RNAcentral.